Molecule: ribosomal RNA, 473 nt
Filed under: uncultured organism
Description: partial 16S ribosomal RNA
Rfam family: Bacterial small subunit ribosomal RNA
Source: RNAcentral
ACACUCCUACGGGAGGCAGCAGUGGGGAAUUUUGGACAAUGGGCGAAAGCCUGAUCCAGCAAUGCCGCGUGAGUGAAGAAGGCCUUCGGGUUGUAAAGCUCUUUUGUCAGGGAAGAAACGGUGAAAGCUAAUAUCUUUUGCUAAUGACGGUACCUGAAGAAUAAGCACCGGCUAACUACGUGCCAGCAGCCGCGGUAAUACGUAGGGUGCAAGCGUUAAUCGGAAUUACUGGGCGUAAAGCGUGCGCAGGCGGUUUUGUAAGUCUGAUGUGAAAUCCCCGGGCUCAACCUGGGAAUUGCAUUGGAGACUGCAAGGCUAGAAUCUGGCAGAGGGGGGUAGAAUUCCACGUGUAGCAGUGAAAUGCGUAGAUAUGUGGAGGAACACCGAUGGCGAAGGCAGCCCCCUGGGUCAAGAUUGACGCUCAUGCACGAAAGCGUGGGGAGCAAACAGGAUUAGAAACCCAUGUAGUCCCA